Molecule: ribosomal RNA, 248 nt
Filed under: uncultured bacterium
Lineage: Bacteria
Description: partial 16S ribosomal RNA
Rfam family: Bacterial small subunit ribosomal RNA
Source: RNAcentral
UACGGGGGGGGCAAGCGUUGUUCGGAAUUACUGGGCGUAAAGGGCUCGUAGGCGGCCAACUAAGUCAGACGUGAAAUCCCUCGGCUUAACCGGGGAACUGCGUCUGAUACUGGAUGGCUUGAGGUUGGGAGAGGGAUGCGGAAUUCCAGGUGUAGCGGUGAAAUGCGUAGAUAUCUGGAGGAACACCGGUGGCGAAGGCGGCAUCCUGGACCAAUUCUGACGCUGAGGAGCGAAAGCCAGGGGAGCAA